RNAcentral lists this ribosomal RNA (447 nucleotides) under Triticum aestivum (bread wheat). RNAcentral's name for it is "partial small subunit ribosomal RNA". The record is from RNAcentral. Lineage: Eukaryota; Viridiplantae; Streptophyta; Magnoliopsida; Poales; Poaceae.
AUGUCGAGGAACUACGGAAGAGUGUUGAGGCAGCAUGAGAGAGUACAGAUAAUGAAUGGGAACCGGCGGCUUGGGCUGCCCCCAGUUAUAAGUGUUCAAGGGGCGGAUGGGGUGAAUGCCCAGCUUCCAGCAGUGGACCCUGAAGAUUUAGAACUAGAUGAGCCUAUCAUCGUUCCUCAGCUCAGGCAUGAAGAAAUUCCAGUAGCAUGUUUCGCACCCACAAGAGCUAUGUCUUUCGAAGCAUUCAUAGAUCUGGUCACACCAGACAGGGGUGGAGCCUCGCCAAUGACGCUGUUCCGGAUGCUUCAGUCAACACCAGAUUCAGCUUCUUAUGUAUGGCACAGAGAAUUCAUUCCAGAUAUUGCAUCCAUGUCAUUGUUGGUGGCAAGAUUUGUGGAGGCAGCAGCGGCAAUUCAAGGUGGCAUAUGUUUCCCCAGAUUGAUUUGA